AAACAAGUGCAAAGUGGACGAUUUUACAAAAGCGUUUAAAAAACGAUAGCAGUUAAAUGGAGUCUUUAGCAUUGAUUAAAAAAGAGCAUGGUGUUGAAAGUGCAAAAGUAUGUCGAUGGUGUCUGUCGGUCGAUGAUGCUUUGAAUGCUCUAACGCGCGGCGAAGCCGGACAAUCUAAACUUCAAAAGCUCUCCGAAUGCACCGGUGCACAGAUUAAUAUCUUACAUGGAGUUCCAUCGUAUUUGUGCGCGAUGUGCGAAGAGCGUUUGAAGAAGAUGGAUCUGUUUCGCUGGCGAUGCAUUGAAAACAAUGAUUCGGUCGAAAAAUUUAUCGAACAGCAGAAUACAGUGAACAACGAAUUAGAAAUCACUCAAGACCAUCUUGACCACUCUGGCGAACAAACGGUUGCCACACCAUUGUCAAUUAAAACCGUUUCCUUCCUUGAAACAGCGAAGGAUUUGCAGUUGAAUCAGAAAUGUUGUAACGUUCAUCAAGCGAACAGGACGUAUGAAUGUUGUGGCAACCAACCAUUCGAAGUAGAAGAAAACCCAAUUACAAUCAAAUUAGAGUAUGUAGAUGUCGGUGAGCAGUAUCGGCGGCAAACGAAUGUUAAACUGGAUCAUGAACAAGACGACCUGCAAACAAAUUCUUUAGAAUUGCUCUGUCAGGAUCGAGAAGAUCACUCUGUGUCAAGAAACCUGUGUGCAGAUAGCACAAAGUUGUCA
Molecule: long non-coding RNA, 725 nt
Organism: Anopheles bellator
Lineage: Eukaryota; Metazoa; Arthropoda; Insecta; Diptera; Culicidae
Exons: 3
Source: RefSeq, a predicted model, not a curated record